This 501-nucleotide ribosomal RNA is filed under the name uncultured bacterium. RNAcentral describes it as "partial 16S ribosomal RNA". It matches the Rfam family "Bacterial small subunit ribosomal RNA", at positions 29 to 523 of the family's 1533-position model. The record is from RNAcentral.
AUUGAACGCUGACGGCAUGCCUUACACAUGCAAGUCGAACGGCAGCACGGGUGCUUGCACCUGGUGGCGAGUGGCGAACGGGUGAGUAAUACAUCGGAACGUACCUUAUCGUGGGGGAUAACGCAGCGAAAGCUGUGCUAAUACCGCAUACGCCCUGAGGGGGAAAGCGGGGGAUCGCAAGACCUCGCGCGAUUAGAGCGGCCGAUGCCUGAUUAGCUUGUUGGUGGGGUAAAAGCCCACCAAGGCGACGGUCAGUAGCUGGUCUGAGAGGACGAUCAGCCACACUGGGACGGAGACACGGCCCAGACUCCUACGGGAGGCAGCAGUGGGGAAUUUUGGACAAUGGGGGCAACCCUGAUCCAGCAAUGCCGCGUGAGUGAAGAAGGCCUUCGGGUUGUAAAGCUCUUUUGUCAGGGAAGAAACACCGGCUCUAACACAGUCCGGGAAUGACGGUACCUGAAGAAUAAGCACCGGCUAACUACGUGCCAGCCGCCGCCGUAA